Molecule: transfer RNA, 56 nt
Filed under: Metacarcinus magister (Dungeness crab)
Lineage: Eukaryota; Metazoa; Arthropoda; Malacostraca; Decapoda; Cancridae
Description: tRNA-Leu
Source: RNAcentral
UAACUCUUUUUUAAGGUUUGAGAAAUCUUUUGAUUCAUUAAAUUAAUUUGAGUUAA